Molecule: long non-coding RNA, 2306 nt
Organism: Cebus imitator (Panamanian white-faced capuchin)
Lineage: Eukaryota; Metazoa; Chordata; Mammalia; Primates; Cebidae
Exons: 2
Source: RefSeq, a predicted model, not a curated record
GUUCACUGGUGGAGUCAGACGUUGGUUACACACACACACAUACACACACAAACACAAACACACACAAACACAAACACAAAGAGAGAGAGAGAGAAAUACAUGUAUUCAGAUGCUGCUCUGAACCUUAUCUGUUUCUGGAGGGCAGGGAAGUCUUCCUGAACUAGGAUAGAAGAAAUGGGUAGAAAUUUGCUAGUUAAGCAGGUGUUGGGGGAAGGUCCUCAGGAGAACAUUCCAGAGCAUGUGCAAGAGGAAGGGAGAUGAUCCAUUCCUGCAGCUCAAAGAAAACCAAUGUCUCUGAACCACAUGGAGCAGGAAGACGCAGCAGGAGAAUCCAGCAGGGGAAGGGUCAGAAAGGCCAUGUUUGUAACUAAUCAGAACUGUGAACUGUGGUUUGGAGGACAAGUGGGAGGGUGAGUAACACAGGGCAGAUGUAGGAGACCCAGGAGAGUACUGCAGUUUUCCAGUAAAGAAAUAAUAGUAGCUGGGACUAGAGAGGUUCAAAGUGAGAAGAAGACCAGUGGGGAGGUUUAAGAGAGAUUUCUGAAUUAAAGUAUACAGGGAAUGGUGACAGAUGAUAUACGGAGUAGAGACAGAGAAGGCAGUGUCAAGAGUGACUCCCAAAUCUGGCUUGCAAACAGAAUGAACGGUGGUGUCGUUCACUGAGAGAGGACACCCAAGAGGAGGCCGUGAUUGGCAGCAGAGAGAGCAGGAGUUCAAGCUGAGAUGUAGAGCCACGUGACUAUGUCUAGUCAGAAUGUGGAUAUGUAGGUUUGGGACUUAGAAGAAAGGUCUGGGAUGAAGAUCUAACCCUAGCAGUCAUCUGCAAAGAAAUGUUAAUAAAAUAAAAUAAAUACAAUUUUUAAAUGGAUGGAAUUUCCAAGGAAAAGGUGGAGGGUGAAAUGAGUAAAAGAUCUAGGGGCAAGGCUUUAAGAAAUUCAUUAUUAGAAGAAGAAAAUGUGUCUUAAUCCAUUCAGGCUGCUAUAACAAAAUACCAUAGACUAAGCGGCUUAUAAACCACAGAAAUUCAUUUCUCACAGUUCCGGAGGCUGGGAAGUCUAAGAUCAAGGUGCAAGUGAGAGUCUGCCUUCUGGCUCAUAGAUGCUGCCUUCUAGCUAUGCCCUCACAUGGUGGAGGAGGCAAGGAAGCUCUCUGGGAUUUCAUUUAUGAGAACACUAAUCCCAUUCAUAAAGACUCCACCCUCAUGACCUAAUCAUCACCCAAAGUCCCACCUAGUACCAUCACCUUGAGGAUUAAGAUUUCAGUAAAUGAAUUUUAGGGGUCACAAGUGUUCAGUCUAUAGCAGAAGGAAUAGCCGAGAAGGAUGAAUGAAAACCAUACAAGGAUGAUUUCGUGGAAGGCAAGGGAGUACAAUGUCUUGAAUAAACCAAGUCCUGAGACAAAUGUUACUGAGAAUUCAAGUAUAAUAAAACUGAGACUCAAAAGUAGCUAUUGGAUGUGAUGACAUGACUAUCAUUGGUUACCUUAGGCAGAGAAGCUUUGGUGGCGUUGACAGGGAGGGCCAGAUAGAAUGUGCUGAAAGAAUGCAAAGGUAGGGACCUGAAGACAGCUUCUGAAAGGAGCCGGCCGUGAGCCAGAGGAGAUGGACAGGAAGGUGACUAACAGGGUGCAGAGGUCGACAUUUUUGGCUUUAUUGUUUUUAAGAGAUAGACCUGAGCAUAUUUAAAAUGCUGAUGUGAAAUUGUCCAAGUUGAGAGGAACCGAUCAGAUCUAUAGGAGACAAAAGAAUGAUGUGUACCAGGGAACUAUGGCAAAAACCUCAAUUACUUUUGCACCAACCUUUGGGAGGCUCUUCACAAAACAAGGCUGAUUUUGGCCUGAGUCGAGAGGAGGAGCAGCUUCUUUUCUACCACAGGAUGGAAGGAGAGGCUGGUGCAAGUGCAAGGAGGUAGCAGGGAGCAGAGGGAGGCCUCACCCAUGCUUGGGUUCUUGGAAUGAGGAAGAUGACAUCGGCAGGAUCAUAGGUGAGCAUCUUCUAACCCAAUGAAGAUUUAGAACUAGGUAUAGGCUGGGCGGGGUGGCUUAUGCCUGUAAUCCCAGCACUUUGGGAGGCUGAGGCGGGUGGAUCAUCUGAGGUCAGGAGUUCGAGACCAGCCUGACUAACAUGGCAAAACCCGUCUCUACUAAAAAUACAAAAAUUAGCCAGGCAUGGUGGCAUGUGUCUGUAGUCCCAGGUACUCAGGAAACUGGGGCAGGAGAAUCGCUUGAACCCAGAAGGGGGAGGCUGCAGUGAGCCAAGAUCACACCACUGCACUCCAGCCUGAGCAACAGAGUAAGACCCUAUCUCA